CCCGAGACUGGAUGCAGACCGGCAUGCCAGGAGCUUUCCCAGGAAAGGAACAGCUUCUCCCAUCCAGCACCUUCACCCUCUGUGUCCUGUGGUGUCUGGGAUGGUGCUGGAGCUGGGACAUGCCCUGAUGCCCUCAGGAUCUCCGGGUUUGUGCAGCCUCAAGACGUUUCCCUUAGGAGGGAUCUGCUGCCUCCUCCUCUUCCUCCCCCUCCCCGCUCCCUGCCGUGGCUCUGCAGAAUCCCGUCCCAGCCCCUGGGUGACCUGCCGUGGCACCGUGCCCGUGGAAAGCUGCAAACCCGACCCUCGGCUGCCAAAACCCCGUCAGAAAAAUCAGGAAAUCAGGUGCAAAUGGCAAGAGGAGAUUAACGGGAGAGGAGCGAUUGAAUCAGGGGCCAUUAACAGAUUAAAUCAUUACACGGAAUCAGAUCAGCGCACAAAUAAUAUGAAUAAUAAACGUGGCUCAGGGGCAGCCGCUCCUGCUUCCAAUUUAUCUCAAGCAGAAGGCGAGGGCUGGUGACUGCCACCACCCACGCGGUCCGGGGACAGAGGACACAUGGAAGAGCUCCGGGGUUGGGGACAAUGACACCAGAUGUGCCAGUGUGACCCUGUUCCUUUCUGUGGGUCCCUGUGGGGGUUCAGGCUCACCCCACCAGCAUCCUGCUCACCCCAGUGAGGCCUUGCAGCCUCCACAGCCCUGCAGGGACCACCCUGAGCCUCUCUCCUCAUUCAGCCUUUCCCUCUCCAAUUCUCCUUCCCGCUUCUAUUUCCUUCCCUGCAAAGAGGAGCAGCCACGUCCCUGCUCUGCUCCAAAAGGUUCAAAGGCAGUGCAGACACGUCAAUAAAAGGCUCCAAACAAUGGGAAAACGUCUUUUCUCCCCAACUUAAUUUCAUUCCCGUCACCAAAAACCCCAAGGAGCUGGAAACGAGCCUGAGCAGUCUCUGCAUGGGCACGGGGAGGGGCUCGAGUCUCCCUCGGCUGCCACAGGGUUAAUUCACAUCUCAGCACCGUCACUUCUGUUCUGCUGGCGAAUCCUUUCUUCCCUAAAUUCCUGCUUGCCCAGGAAGGCUGGAGGAAGUCUGAGCUGCUGUGACAACACCUGGGAACAAGUAUUAUUAUGUGGUGUGACAAGGAGUCAUUUGAUGCCACUAAUCAUGGCUGUGAUCCGGCACGCCGGGAUGUGUAAUGACAACGCUGAACAGGAAAAAUGGCACUCGCAUCCUCCGCUCUUCCCGCUCUAAUCCAUAUUUUACCACAUCUUUCUACCUAAUGAUACUUAGAACUGUUAAUAAAUGACUACUUAGCACCUUU
Molecule: long non-coding RNA, 1309 nt
Organism: Catharus ustulatus (Swainson's thrush)
Lineage: Eukaryota; Metazoa; Chordata; Aves; Passeriformes; Turdidae
Exons: 2
Source: RefSeq, a predicted model, not a curated record